AACUUUCAACAACGGAUCUCUUGGUUCUGGCAUCGAUGAAGAACGCAGCGAAAUGCGAUAAGUAAUGUGAAUUGCAGAAUUCAGUGAAUCAUCGAAUCUUUGAACGCACAUUGCGCCCUCUGGUAUUCCGGGGGGCAUGCCUGUUCGAGCGUCAUC
Molecule: ribosomal RNA, 156 nt
Filed under: Diploicia subcanescens
Lineage: Eukaryota; Fungi; Ascomycota; Lecanoromycetes; Caliciales; Caliciaceae
Description: 5.8S ribosomal RNA
Rfam family: 5.8S ribosomal RNA
About the family: 5.8S ribosomal RNA (5.8S rRNA) is a component of the large subunit of the eukaryotic ribosome. It is transcribed by RNA polymerase I as part of the 45S precursor that also contains 18S and 28S rRNA. Functionally, it is thought that 5.8S rRNA may be involved in ribosome translocation.
Source: RNAcentral